RNAcentral lists this long non-coding RNA (3365 nucleotides) under Homo sapiens (human). RNAcentral describes it as "non-protein coding lnc-ADGRL3-2:5". The record is from RNAcentral. Lineage: Eukaryota; Metazoa; Chordata; Mammalia; Primates; Hominidae.
AACAUACAGUCCUCAGCAGCUUUAGCAUGGGCAACAAAUUAAGUCUCUGUAAAAGGCCCAAAGGACAGGGUUUGGUGAGAUUCUGGAGAGCUGGAAACAUGGAGGUUGACAGGAAUGUAAAGAAGAACUCAUUUACAUGCCAGGAGGGUGGAACACCCCAAUUCCAUGAGGAUAACUGCUCCUGUACUCCAGACCUCACCCCAUGUGUCUCUUCAUCUGGCUGGUUAUUUGUCCUUUAAGAUCUCCUUACUCAACCAGUAAAUGUGUCUUUACAUUGUUUUAGUCUUGAACUAGAAGAUGAAAGCAUCAAAUAAAGAAAUAUACUGUGGGUAUAUGGAUUACAAAAAAAGAGAUCUGUGGAAGUUUGAAGUUGAGAAUGAUGACCUAGAGUAUCUGGUGGAAGAAAUUUCUAAGCAGCAAAGUGUUCAAGAUGUGGCCUGGAUGCUUCUAACAACCUAUGCUCAGAUGUAGGCACAAAGGAAUGACUUACAUUUGGAACUUACAUUUAAACAGGAAGCAGAGCCUAAAAGUUCAGAAAAUUUGCAGGCUGAUCAUGUGGCAAAUAAAUAAAAACCUUUUACAAGAGAGAAACUCAAGCAGGCUGUUGAGCAACCAUUUGCUAGAGAUAUCUGCAUAACUGAAAAGGAGCCAAAUGCUAAUAGCCAAGACAAUGGGAAAAAGGUUUCAGUGACAUUUCAGAGAACUUCCUGGCAGCCCUUCUUACCACAGGCCCUGAAGCCUAGGAGGACUGAAUGGUUUUGUAGGCCAGGCCCAGUACCUUGCUAGCCUGCACAGCCUUGAGACACGGCUCCCCAAAUUCUGGUCACUCUGGCCCCAGCCUCAGCUCAAAGGGGCACUGGUAAAACUUGGGCCAUCACUUCAGAGGACACGAGCUAUAAUCAUUGGCAGAUUCCACAUGGUGUUAAGCAUGUGGGUGCACAGAGUGCAAGAGUUAAGAAGGCUUGGUAGCCUCUGCCUAGACUUCAGAGGAUGUAUAGAAAAGGCUGGUGUUCAGGCAGAAGGCUGCUGCAGGAGUGGAGCCCUCACAGAGAACUUCUAGUAGAGCAGUGGGGAGGGGAAAUGUGGGUUUGGAAGCCCACAGAGUCCCCAGUGGGGUAUUGCCUAAUGAAGCUGUGAGAAGGGGGCCACCAUCAUCCAGAACCAAGAAUGGUAGAUCCAUUGGCAGCUUGCACUCUAUGCCUGGAAAAGCUGCAGGCACUCAGCUGUAGCACUUGAGAGGAGCCAUGGGGCUACAUCCUGCAAAUUCACAGGGGAAGAGCUGCCCAAAGCCUUGGGAGCCCACCCCUUGCAUUAACGUGCCAUGGAUGUGAGGCAUGGAGUCAAAAGAGAUUAUUUCAGAGCUUUAAGAUUUAAUGACUGUCCUGCUAGUUUUCGGACCUGUGUGAGCUCUAGUCCCUUUCUUUGCCUGACUUCUUUCUCUUGUAAUGGGAAUGUUUACCCAAUGCUGGCACCCUCAUUGUAUCUUGGAAGUAAAUGACUUGUUUUGAUUUUACAGGCUCACAGGUGGAAGGAACUCAUUUUCAGAUGGGACUUUGGACUUGGGACUUUUGAUUGAGUUGUUGCAGAAAUGAGUUAAGAUUUUGGGGAAUUGCUGAGAAGGCAUGAUUGUAUUUUGCCAUGUGAAAAGAAUAGGUAAUUUGGGGGAAGACAAGGGUAGAAUGAUAUAGUUUAGGUAUUUGUCCACACUGAAAUUUCAUGUUGAAUUGUAAUCCCCAAUGUUGGAAGUGUGGCCUGGUGGGAGGUGUUUAGGUCAUGGGGGUUGAUCCCUCAUGUCUUGGUGCUGUCCUCUCAAUAAUGAAUGAGUUCUCUCAAGAUUUGGUUGUUGUAAAGUGUGGUACCUCCACCCCCAACUCUUUCUCUUGCUCCUACAUUCACCAUGUCAAGUACCUGUUCCCACUUUGCCUUCCACCAUGAUUGUGAAGUUCCUGAGGCCUCUCGGAAAGCAGAUGCCAGCACUAUGCUUCCUGUACAGCCUGCAAAACUGUGAGCCAAUUAAACCUCUUUUCUUAUAAAGUACCCAGUCUCAGGUAUUUCUUUAUAGCAAUGCAAGAACAGCCUAAUACAAUCAGUAAAUAUGUCAGAUUCUACAAUGAGGCUACUAUAAUGUGAAGAUAUUUUUCUUAAUCAUUUACAUUUACAAAUAGACUAAAAUUCUUGUUUUAUGUUAUUGUCUUAGUUCAUUUUGUGCUGCUAUAACGGAAUACUACAGACUGGUAAUUAAUAAACAACAGAAGUUUAUUUGGCUCAUGUCUCUGGAGAUUGGGAAGUCUAAGACUGAGGGGCCUCAUCUAGUGAAGGUCUUGCUAUGUCAUAACAUAACAUGGUGGAAGUCAUCACAUGGUGAAAGCAUGUGUAAAAGAGGAAGACAGGAGAACUCAUACUCUUAUCAGGAUCCCACUCCCACAAUAUCUAGCCCUCUCCCAGGAUAACAGCACUGAUUAUCUUAGAAGGGUCUCAACUCUCAGGACUGUUGCAUUGGGGAUUACAUUUCAAACACGUGGAUCUUGGGAGACACAUUUAAACCACAACAGUGAUGUUUUGAAUAAUAAAUAUACAUCUACAAAUGUGUUUCUUCCACCUGGCAAUGCCUUCUUCUGAUAGUUUUAUUCUGCAAAUUUCAAUUAUUCAAAUAAAAUUUCCUCAUUGGCCCUCUUUAACACUUUUUCCUCUGAAAUCUUAUAUUACUUGUUGCUUUACAAAUACUCUUUAAAAAUUAUUCCACACUGGUAUCUAAAUUCUUCCUUUUUUCCCAGUCUUAUCUUCCCAAUUGGCUUUUAAUUUCCAUCAGGAAAGGAUCCAUGUGUUUUGACUUCUUGGUACUGCUCACAGUAAUACGUAAAUAAUUAAGAUUUAAUAUAAUUGGGUUUAAUUUAAUUUCAUGUAGAUUCCAAUUGAUUUUUCCAAUUAGAUGUGUGAGAUUUUUAUUCAUUAAAAUACGCAAUUAUACUAGCAUCCAUUUUUACUUGUCCAAAGAAUGAGCUAAGAUUUAAGUUAUAUUUUGCGAUCUUGAGAUACAUUUCAUAUGCUCUUCGUUGAAUCACUUUUCUAUUCAUCUUCAAAUUCCAGCUAUAAAAUAUGAUAUGCAAUUGUCUUAGCUCAGAUUGAUCACAAAUCCUUGUUCUACAAGAUACCAUGUAUUCAUAUAUUCAUAAAAAUAUCAACAGAAAUAAUAUAUUAAUAAAUAUUUAAGUAUGUAAUUUCAGAAAGAGAUGGUAAUGUAUCAGGACAGAUUUUAGUUAGGAGACACAAUAUGCUUAUCCGAGCACAAAGUUGGUUUUUAUCAAUUGAUGUUAGUUUUUGAUUAUAUACUAUAUGUAAGUUCUCUAUUUAUAAUUAUAAUUUUC